This 1037-nucleotide long non-coding RNA is filed under the name Strigops habroptila (Kakapo). RNAcentral describes it as "lncRNA (ENSSHBG00005014745.1)". Lineage: Eukaryota; Metazoa; Chordata; Aves; Psittaciformes; Psittacidae. The record is from RNAcentral.
UGAUCCUCAGGCUGUUUAUUGGCAUCUCCCUCGGCUCAGCCUGGCUCAGCAGUAGGCACUGCAGGGGUUUGCUAUGCAGAGACCACCAAAACAGCCCCAGACCCCCCUGGGCAUCACCACCCAUCGCAUGUUCCUUGUGCUCCCUAUGCACAAAACCCCAUUAAGAGACCCCAAACCACCAGCAAUACAGAGGGGGGGGCUCUGGCUGCUGCAUCGCCCCAUCUGAGCCUCAUCCGGGGUGCAAAAUCAGGGGGGGUCAUCAGCACCAUGUGCACCCCGGUGGGGCACUGCUGGGGUUCAAGUCCUGGGCACCAACGAAAGGAGGAAUCACUUGUACCCUGGGUUCCUCGCACGGUGGGUGCCCCCCAAAGGCUGGGGUCUCAUAUCCAGAGGUUUUGAGUUGGGGUCUCUCUGUGUCACCAGCACUUGUCCCCACGUCCUGGGGGGACCACAAGCAGAGGGGCUGGGGUUUGGCACGGUGAGAUCCCAGCACCCCACAGGGACCCCAGCACAGCAGAUUCCAAGGGCAAAGUCCGGUGCAAUCCUGCCGGCACGCCGAGCAUUCCCACCCCUCCUCGGCUGAGCAAUCCGUCACACAGACACAGCUUUGGCCAAAACAAGGAGCUGGGCUCUGCUCCGCAGGGAAGGCGCUUGGCAUCCUGCUCCGGCAAAGUGAAACACCCGCCGUGGCACCGAGCCCCGGGGCCCUUCGGCCUCUUCCUCCUCCUCCUCCUCCUCCUCGCUGCUUUAUUCCUUAAUUCCUCAGGUUUUCCUUUAUUUUUUUCCUUUUUUUUUUUGUUUAAUAUGUAUUUUUCUCUCUCCUGUGUUUUGCUUCUGUUUAAAUAUCAAACGAAAGAAGAAAACCCGGCGAUGGGAGCUCUGGAGCCGGGGGCCAGGCUGCUGGGCGGGCGGUACAGGGUCCCGGGCUGGCUGGGGGGGUUGCCGGGGGUCUGGGGGGUGGGAGUCCUGCUGGCUUUGGGCCGGAAGAGGCUGCCCUGCUGCGUGGAGGUGCUGUUGGACAGGGCUGCGGGGUCGGG